AUGAGGGGAGAUCGCACCAACGAUCCUGUGAACAUUAGCUCUGAUGAGAGCCCGGAUAGCAGCUCUGAUGAAGGUCUACACAUGAGCUCUGAUGAACGUGUGUACACCAGCUCUGAUGAAGUUGUGGACACGAGCUCUGAUGAACGCGCGUACACCAGCUCUGAUGAUGGCGUCGACACGAGCUCUGAUGAAGGCAUGUACUACCGUAUGAAGAAAAAGAAGCUUCAGAAGACAUGCAAGGAUGUGAGUGACUGCCCUAGGGAGUAUUCAAUUGGAUAUGUUCCUAAUUCUGAAGCCGACUGGAUGCAUUCAAAGAAAUUUAUGAUGUCAAUGUGUGCUCGAAAGCAUCUUAGUUGCUAUGUCUGUUCUAUUAAGCCUGCUAUUAGGCACUAUGUGUGUGAGAUGAACAAGACUUUUACAAAAGCUCGGCAGAGAAUGUAUUUCUCUACUUUGUUCACUGAGAAGCACCUGAUGAAGUUUCUCUCUACUCUGGUCGAUCGAAUGCGGAUUAAUCUUUCACCUGGGCGUUGUUUAAUCUAUGUUCGAUUGAUGAAAGGGGUUGACAACAGGGCUGCUAUAACACAUAACUAG
Molecule: ribosomal RNA, 591 nt
Filed under: Triticum aestivum (bread wheat)
Lineage: Eukaryota; Viridiplantae; Streptophyta; Magnoliopsida; Poales; Poaceae
Description: partial small subunit ribosomal RNA
Source: RNAcentral